UACGGGGAUGGCGAGCGUUACUCGGAUUUAUUGGGUGUAAAGGGCAGGUAGGUGUUCCAUCAAGUUAGAAGUGAAAUCCUAAGGCUUAACCUUAGAACUGCUUCUAAAACUGGUGGAAUUGAGAACAGAAGAGGAAAGCGGAAUUCCCGGUGUAAGGGUGAAAUCUGUAGAGAUCGGGAGGAACACCAGUGGCGAAAGCGGCUUUCUGGUCUGUCUCUGACUCUGAACUGCGAAAGCUAGGGGAG
Molecule: ribosomal RNA, 245 nt
Filed under: uncultured bacterium
Lineage: Bacteria
Description: partial 16S ribosomal RNA
Rfam family: Bacterial small subunit ribosomal RNA
Source: RNAcentral